Molecule: small RNA, 4814 nt
Filed under: Pongo abelii (Sumatran orangutan)
Lineage: Eukaryota; Metazoa; Chordata; Mammalia; Primates; Hominidae
Description: retained intron
Source: RNAcentral
GGAGCCGUUGGGUCGGUUCCUGCUAUUCCGGCGCCUCCACUCCGUCCCCCGCGGGUCUGCUCUGUGUGCCAUGGACGGCAUUGUCCCAGAUAUAGCCGUUGGUACAAAGCGGGGAUCUGACGAGCUUUUCUCUACUUGUGUCACUAACGGACCGUUUAUCAUGAGCAGCAACUCGGCCUCUGCAGCAAACGGAAAUGACAGCAAGAAGUUCAAAGGUGACAGCAGAAGCGCCGGCGUCCCCUCUAGAGUGAUCCACAUCCGGAAGCUCCCCAUCGACGUCACAGAAGGGGAAGUCAUCUCCCUGGGGCUGCCCUUUGGGAAGGUCACCAACCUCCUGAUGCUGAAGGGGAAAAACCAGGCCUUCAUCGAGAUGAACACGGAGGAGGCUGCCAACACCAUGGUCAACUACUACACCUCGGUGACACCCGUGCUGCGCGGCCAGCCCAUCUACAUCCAGUUCUCCAACCACAAGGAGCUGAAGACCGACAGCUCCCCCAACCAGGCGCGGGCCCAGGCGGCCCUGCAGGCUGUGAACUCGGUCCAGUCGGGGAACCUGGCCUUGGCUGCCUCGGCGGCGGCCGUGGACGCAGGGAUGGCGAUGGCGGGGCAGAGCCCCGUGCUCAGGAUCAUCGUGGAGAACCUCUUCUACCCUGUGACCCUGGAUGUGCUGCACCAGAUUUUCUCCAAGUUUGGCACAGUGUUGAAAAUUAUCACCUUCACCAAGAACAACCAGUUCCAGGCCCUGCUGCAGUAUGCGGACCCCGUGAGCGCCCAGCACGCCAAGCUGGUGAGUGGGGCUCCCAGGACGGCGCCCGCCCUGGCCCUGGCCCUGGCCCAGCCACGUCUCACGUUCCCUCUCCCCUCAGUCGCUGGACGGGCAGAACAUCUACAACGCCUGCUGCACGCUGCGCAUCGACUUUUCCAAGCUCACCAGCCUCAACGUCAAGUACAACAAUGACAAGAGCCGCGACUACACGCGCCCAGACCUGCCCUCCGGAGACAGCCAGCCCUCGCUGGACCAGACCAUGGCCGCGGCCUUCGGUAAGAGGCUGCCCGACGCGGCGCCAGUGUGCAGAGUGGUCUGUUAGGGCCGCUCAGUUCGGAGUCCCAGCGGCACGGGCCCGGCCCUGCACCAGGGUGAUGCGCCUGCCGCUCUCUGCACGGCCAGCACAGCACGGUCCGGCGCCCCCCACGUCGGGACCACGGCCCCCCCCCCCCCGGAGCGGCGGAUCUGCCCGCGAAGGCUCUGUCGGGGCCGCCCGCCAGCCGGGUUGGGGCCCAUCCCGCAGCACAGCGCCCGCUCGCGGUGGAGGUUGUGGGUGCGAUGAUUAGUGUCUCAUUUAUUUCUAGGUGCACCUGGUAUAAUCUCAGCCUCUCCGUAUGCAGGAGCUGGUUUCCCUCCCACCUUUGCCAUUCCUCAAGCUGCAGGUAUUCAAACGCUUGGUCUUGGUUCCCCAGCGACUGCAUGCCCACACCACCUUCCCAGGCAGCUCCGCAUCCACGGCGGCAGCCUGGGCGGACUGGGCACUCGAGUGCCAGGUCAGGGGCCCUUCCCGGGAGAGGGGACGCCACGUCCACAGAGCAGGGCAGUGGUAGGACAGGGCUGCGGAGGCCCACGCGUGGACGGCGCCAGCCAGAAGCCACUAACCGCACAGUCUUUGUGGUCUGGUUCCCUUCAAGCACCUCCGGGCGAGCGCGAGGACCGCCAGUGGUUGGAGGGAUGUGUCCCUAGUAGUUGAAUUUGAGUGGCCUGGUAAGCGCGUGGCCCGAGGCUGAGGAGCAUGACCGGCGGCGGGACGUGUGUGCGUGGCCGUCCUCCUGCUUCCCUUCUGGGACCGGGGCCCGGCCGCCCGAGUGCUGGCCGUGGACGGAGCAGCGCCGCCCCGCGGCCGCCUUGUCUGCAUGGAGGCGUGGGCACGCAUGCGCGGUGGUCCCGGGACAGGCCCUGCUUGCCGAGGGCCCCGUGUCUGUGCUGGCGGAGCCGGAGCUUUUCUGUGCUGUGGGCGCAUGCAGAGGAGUCCAGGCCCGGCACGGCCCGUGCUGUGAGGAGAGGCGGGCGCUGGUGCAGGAGCCAGCGGGUGGCUGUGCGGGGGUCGGGCGACCCCACAGGCACCCGGGGUAGGGCCAGAGCCAGGGCCGCCUCCCGCGCGGCUCGGCUCCUCGGUGCAUGAGGACGGGGAGCGUCGGCCUCUCCCACUCUGCGGUGGAGUGGGGGCGCCGCUGCUCAUGUCACCUCCUACCUUUCCAGGCCUUUCCGUUCCCAACGUCCAUGGAGCCCUGGCCCCCCUGGCCAUCCCCUCGGCGGCGGCAGCAGCUGCAGCAGCAGGCCGGAUCGCCAUCCCGGGCCUGGCGGGGGCGGGAAAUUCUGUAUUGCUGGUCAGCAACCUCAACCCAGAGGUACGUGGGCUUUUCCUCCGCGCCGUUCCUCCAGGAAGAGCGAGCAGGGGAUGUUGUGCUCGGUCUUGGGUCCCGGAGCAGCGCCGCCCCUCGCUGUGUCUGCGCCUCUGCCCCGGCAGCCCCUCUGCCGCAGCGCUGAGACCUCUUCUUCCAAGAUGGCUUGAGUUUUUCUGUUUUCCUGAAUUCGCAUCUUGGUUUGCGUUUUCACUUCCAUGAUAUGCACAAUGAAUUAUUUUUUUGUUACCCAAAGGCAAUCUAAAAGUUACUGGAGCUGAGCAGGGCGUGCAGUUCAGAGCCCCAGCAGGCCGCCCUGCCGGUCAGCGGGACACAUAGGGUUAGCGCGGCAGGGUGUGGGCAGCCCCUGUGGCACGAGAGCCUGUUACUUAACUGGUGGAUCUGUUAUUUCUCAGAAUGGUUAAGUUCCCCUCGGGGAGAGCUUGGGUGAAAUAAGAGGCUCAAAAUAUGUAACUCUUGAUGGAUGGGAUCCCUGGAAUGAGCAUUUCAGGCUGUUCUGUUUCCCGGCAACUCCUGUGACUUCCUCAAGGCGGUGCCCAGCCUGGCCCUCCCUCGCGGGGGCCCAGGACGCACUCCCUGCCUCUGCCUCUUACCACGAGCCGGGUGCUGUCCCUCCCGCUCCUCCUGAGCUAGGGGACCCACAGCGAGGCCGUGCACUAACAGACUCGAUCUCCCUUCACGCCUGUAAUCGUCCUUAGAGACUGACUUGUGCCACAGCCGCGGGAGACAGCGCUGCUGCAGGGCUUGGCUGAGGUGGCCGCGAGCGGAGCUGCACCCGCGCUCCUGGGGGGCGUGGUUGGGAUCGGCUUCUGGGAGCCCCUCCAGCAGCGCUGUCUCUGCCGGCAUGUGAGUGAAGGUGCUUUUCUUACUGUGUGCCCCUCGAGGUAAACCUGUAACUGGAAUGUGUGUGGAGUGUGACUGAUAGAACACUACCUGAUUUUCUUAUGUAUUUACUGACCUGUGUUUUUUUGCUACUUUUUUUUCUUUUCUCCCCUUCCCCUUUCCCAAUUUUUUUUCUUGCCCUGAUCCGGAAUUUCUUUGCCAACUGACUGCACGGUACUUCUGCUUCCUGUUGUUGCUUGAAACAAAACAAAAACAUAAACAAAUAAAAAACAAAAAUUCCCCCUCAAACCCUGCUCUCCGGAAACCAACCUGCCCUUGAAUAUUAACAUCCUGACAACUUCAUCAUCCAUCAACCACUGCACGCCUGCGGGGACUGUCUUCCUCGUGUGGACGAUUGGCAACUCGCCCCCCUUGACCUCUCCCUCUCCCCUGUCCCUCCGCUGCCUUGCUCUGCUGUCUCUAAAGAGAGUCACACCCCAAAGCCUCUUUAUUCUUUUCGGCGUCUACGGCGACGUGCAGCGCGUGAAGAUCCUGUUCAAUAAGAAGGAGAACGCUCUGGUGCAGAUGGCGGACGGCAACCAGGCCCAGCUGGCUAUGAGCCACCUGAACGGGCACAAGCUGCACGGGAAGCCCAUCCGCAUCACGCUCUCAAAGCACCAGAACGUGCAGCUGCCCCGCGAGGGCCAGGAGGACCAGGGCCUGACCAAGGACUAUGGCAACUCACCCCUGCACCGCUUCAAGAAGCCGGGCUCCAAGAACUUCCAGAACAUAUUCCCGCCCUCGGCCACACUGCACCUCUCCAACAUCCCGCCCUCAGUCUCCGAGGAGGAUCUCAAGGUCCUGUUUUCCAGCAAUGGGGGCGUCGUCAAAGGAUUCAAGUUCUUCCAGUGAGUAUGAGGUGGGCUGUGCCUGGCUCUCCACGGGCUGCCCUGCGGCCGGCCCUGACCCCCUGUCUUGCAGGAAGGACCGCAAGAUGGCGCUGAUCCAGAUGGGCUCCGUGGAGGAGGCGGUCCAGGCCCUCAUUGACCUGCACAACCACGACCUCGGGGAGAACCACCACCUGCGGGUCUCCUUCUCCAAGUCCACCAUCUAGGGGCACAGGCCCCCAACGGCCGGGCCCCCUGGCGACAACUUCCAUCAUUCCAGAGAAAAGCCACUUUAAAAAGCAGCUGAAGUGACCUUAACAGACCAGAGAUUUUAUUUUUUUAAAGAGAAAUCAGUUUACCUGUUUUUAAAAAAAUUAAAUCUAGUUCACCUUGCUAACCCUGCAGUGACGGGGACAGCUCAGGCUCUUGGUGACUGUGGCAGCGGGAGUUCCCGGCCCUCCACACCCGGGGCCAGACCCUCGGGCCUUGCCUUGGUGGGGCCUGUCGGGCGUGGGGCCUGCAGGUGGGCGCCCCGACCACGACUUGGCUUCCUUGUGCCUUAAAAAUCCUGCCUUCCUGCAGCCACACCUCCCCCCCCCCCCGGGGUGUCCUGGGGACCCGAGGGGUGGGGGUCGCACCAGAGAGAGGUAGGGGGCCUGGCCGGCUCCUGCAGGAUCAUGGAGUUGGGGUGCG